RNAcentral lists this ribosomal RNA (455 nucleotides) under uncultured organism. RNAcentral describes it as "bacterial SSU rRNA". It matches the Rfam family "Bacterial small subunit ribosomal RNA", at positions 346 to 794 of the family's 1533-position model. The record is from RNAcentral.
GUGCAGCAGGCGAGAAUUUUUCUCAAUGGGGGCAACCCUGAAGGAGCGACGCCGCGUGGAGGAUGAAGGCUUUCGGGUUGUAAACUCCUGUCAUUUGAGAACAAGUGGCCGAAAUUAACUACUUCGGCCUUGAUAGUAUCAGAAGAGGAAGGGACGGCUAACUCUGUGCCAGCAGCCGCGGUAAUACAGAGGUCCCGAGCGUUGUUCGGAUUCAUUGGGCGUAAAGGGUGCGUAGGUGGCGCCGUAAGUGGGGUGUGAAAUCCCGGGGCUUAACCCCGGGACUGCAUUCCAUACUGCGGUGCUUGAGGACUGGAGAGGAGACUGGAAUUUACGGUGUAGCAGUGAAAUGCGUAGAGAUCGUAAGGAAGACCAGUGGCGAAGGCGGGUCUCUGGACAGUUCCUGACACUGAGGCACGAAGGCCAGGGGAGCAAACGGGAUUAGAUACCCCCGUAGU